GGUGAGAUGGCCGAGUUGGUCUAAGGCGCCAGGUUAAGGUUGUAUAUUCAUACGAAUAAAUAUUCAAUCUCCUGGUCUAGUAAUAGGCGUGGGUUCAAAUCCCACUCUCAUCA
Molecule: transfer RNA, 113 nt
Filed under: Sclerotinia borealis F-4128
Lineage: Eukaryota; Fungi; Ascomycota; Leotiomycetes; Helotiales; Sclerotiniaceae
Rfam family: tRNA
About the family: Transfer RNA (tRNA) molecules are approximately 80 nucleotides in length. Their secondary structure includes four short double-helical elements and three loops (D, anti-codon, and T loops). Further hydrogen bonds mediate the characteristic L-shaped molecular structure. tRNAs have two regions of fundamental functional importance: the anti-codon, which is responsible for specific mRNA codon recognition, and the 3' end, to which the tRNAs corresponding amino acid is attached (by aminoacyl-tRNA synthetases). tRNAs cope with the degeneracy of the genetic code in two manners: having more than one tRNA (with a specific anti-codon) for a particular amino acid; and 'wobble' base-pairing, i.e. permitting non-standard base-pairing at the 3rd anti-codon position.
Source: Rfam by way of RNAcentral